Molecule: ribosomal RNA, 468 nt
Filed under: uncultured bacterium
Lineage: Bacteria
Description: partial 16S ribosomal RNA
Rfam family: Bacterial small subunit ribosomal RNA
Source: RNAcentral
GACGAACGCUGGCGGCGUGCUUAACACGUGCAAGUCGAACGGAAAGGCCCUGCUUUUGUGGGGUGCUCGAGUGGCGAACGGGUGAGUAACACGUGAGUAACCUGCCCUUGACUUUGGGAUAACUUCAGGAAACUGGGGCUAAUACCGGAUAGGAGCUCCUGCUGCACGGUGGGGGUUGGAAAGUUUCGGCGGUUGGGGAUGGACUCGCGGCUUAUCAGCUUGUUGGUGGGGUAGUGGCUUACCAAGGCUUUGACGGGUAGCCGGCCUGAGAGGGUGACCGGCCACAUUGGGACUGAGAUACGGCCCAGACUCCUACGGGAGGCAGCAGUGGGGAAUAUUGCACAAUGGGCGGAAGCCUGAUGCAGCAACGCCGCGUGCGGGAUGACGGCCUUCGGGUUGUAAACCGCUUUCGCCUGUGACGAAGCGUGAGUGACGGUAAUGGGUAAAGAAGCACCGGCUAACUACGUG